GUGAGUAAAUGGGAGCUCCUUUUGAUUCAAAAGCAGGAGGGAGAGAGGGUUUUACACUGCUGCUGGUUCAUGGAUGCCCCUGAGGUGCGCACGAUAAGGAAACUGCGCAGCUUAAGGGUUUGCAUGGCCCAGGAGAUGUGAAUUCCUUCUCCUCUCCUUUCUUGGAUUGAAGGGAGCUCCAAUACUAUUUGAC
Molecule: microRNA precursor, 193 nt
Filed under: Malus domestica (apple)
Lineage: Eukaryota; Viridiplantae; Streptophyta; Magnoliopsida; Rosales; Rosaceae
Also listed under: 1 other name
Description: sRNA MD07G0117600
Rfam family: MIR159 microRNA precursor family
Source: Rfam by way of RNAcentral